UACCCCACUAUACUUUUUUAUAUUAUUAAAUACCAGAGUAUUACGAUUUUAAAAUUAAAACUUAAAGAACUUGGCGAUUUUUUACACCUACUCGGAGGAGCUUGUUAUUAAAUUGAUUUUCCACAAGAUACCUAACCUUUCUUUGCAUUUCAGCUUGUAUACCAUCGUCGCCAGCUUACUUUUAAAAAUAAAAGCAAAAAGAAUUAACUUCAUAACGUCAGAUCAAGGUGCAGCCUAUAGAAAGGGAAUACAUGAGCUACUUUUUUAAAUAAAUAUGAGGAAAAAAUAAUGAAAAAAUUUUUGAAAAAGGAUUCGACAGUAAUUUAUUAAAGAAAUAUUAAAUAAAAAAGCUCUAAAAUACGCACAUACCGCCCG
This 375-nucleotide ribosomal RNA is filed under the name Amperima robusta. Its description in RNAcentral is "partial 12S ribosomal RNA". The record is from RNAcentral. Lineage: Eukaryota; Metazoa; Echinodermata; Holothuroidea; Elasipodida; Elpidiidae.